UACGUAGGGGGCAAGCGUUAUCCGGAAUCACUGGGCGUAAAGGGUGCGUAGGCGGUCGACAAAGUCUGGGGUGAAAGGCUACGGCUCAACCGUAGUAAGCCUUGGAAACUUGUUGACUUGAGUGCAGGAGAGGUAAGUGGAAUUCCUAGUGUAGCGGUGAAAUGCGUAGAUAUUAGGAGGAACACCAGUGGCGAAGGCGACUUACUGGACUGUAACUGACGCUGAGGCACGAAAGCGUGGGGAGCAAACA
This 250-nucleotide ribosomal RNA is filed under the name uncultured bacterium. RNAcentral describes it as "partial 16S ribosomal RNA". It matches the Rfam family "Bacterial small subunit ribosomal RNA", at positions 524 to 774 of the family's 1533-position model. The record is from RNAcentral.